This 869-nucleotide ribosomal RNA is filed under the name uncultured archaeon. RNAcentral describes it as "bacterial SSU rRNA". It matches the Rfam family "Archaeal small subunit ribosomal RNA", at positions 1 to 879 of the family's 1478-position model. The record is from RNAcentral.
CUUCCGGUGAUCCCGCCGGACCCGACUGCUAUCAGAGUGGGACUAAGCCAUGCGAGUCAACGUAGCAAUACGUGGCAUACGGCUCAGUAACACGUAGUCAACAUGCCCAGGGGACGAGGAUAACCUCGGGAAACUGAGGAUAAACCUCGAUAGGCCAUGAUUUCUGGAAUGAUUCUUGGCUCAAACCUAUAUGGCCCCUGGAUUGGACUGCGGCCGAUCAGGCUGUUGGUGAGGUAAUGGCCCACCAAACCUAUUACCGGUACGGGCUCUGAGAGGAGGAGCCCGGAGAUGGGCACUGAGACAAGGGCCCAGGCCCUAUGGGGCGCAGCAGGCGCGAAACCUCUGCAAUAGGCGAAAGCUUGACAGGGUUACUCUGAGUGAUUUCCGCUAAGGGAAUCUUUUGGCACCUCUAAAAAUGGUGCAGAAUAAGGGGUGGGCAAGUCUGGUGUCAGCCGCCGCGGUAAUACCAGCACCCCGAGUGGUCGGGACGAUUAUUGGGCCUAAAGCAUCCGUAGCCGGUCCUGCAAGUCUUCCGUUAAAUCCAGCUGCUCAACAGAUGGGCUGCGGGAGAUACUACAGGGCUAGGAGGCGGGAGAGGCAAGCGGUACUUUAUGGGUAGGGGUAAAAUCCGCUGAUCCAUAGAAGACCACCAGUGGCGAAGGCGGCUUGCCAGAACGCGCUCGACGGUGAGGGAUGAAAGCUGGGGGAGCAAACCGGAUUAGAUACCCGGGUAGUCCCAGCUGUAAACGAUGCAGACUCGGUGAUGGGUUGGCCUCGCGCCUGCCCAGUGCCGCAGGGAAGCCGUUAAGUUUGCCGCCUGGGGAGUACGGUCGCAAGACUGAAACUUAAAGGAAUUGGCGGGGGAGCCA